AAGACCUCAAAUCAGGUGGGACUACCUGCUGAACUUAAGCAUAUCAAUAAGCAGAGGAAAAGAAACUAACAAGGAUUCCCCUAGUAAUGGCGAAUGAAGAGGGAAAAGCCCAAAUUUGUAAUCUGGCUCUUUCAGAGUCCGAGUUGUAAUUUUAAGAACUGUUUUCAGUGCUGGACCAUGUACAAGUCUUCUGAAAAGAAGCAUCAUAGAAGGUGAUAAUCCUGUUCGUGAUAUGGACUACCAGUGCAAUAUGAUACAGUCUCUAAGAGUCGAGUUGUUUGGGAAUGCAGCUCAAAGUGGGUGGUAAAUUCCAUCUAAGGCUAAAUAUUGAUGAGAGACCGAUAGCAAACAAGUACCGUGAGGGAAAGAUGAAAAGAACUUUGGAAAGAGAGUUAACAGUGCGUGAAAUUGUUAAAAGGGAAACAAUUGAAGUUAGACUUGUUAUUAAUAGUUCAACCUUUUUCUUAAAAGGAGUAUUCUAUUGAUUAACAGACCAACAUCAAUUUUUGGGUGUUGGAGAAGGGUUUAAGGAAAUGUAGCAAUUUUUGACUGUGUUAUAUUCCUUUUGAGCUUUGAUACAAUGCCUAAGAUUGAGGAAGGCAGUAAGC
This 608-nucleotide ribosomal RNA is filed under the name Puccinia tanaceti. RNAcentral's name for it is "eukaryotic LSU rRNA". It matches the Rfam family "Eukaryotic large subunit ribosomal RNA", at positions 1 to 610 of the family's 3401-position model. Lineage: Eukaryota; Fungi; Basidiomycota; Pucciniomycetes; Pucciniales; Pucciniaceae. The record is from RNAcentral.